ACAACACGCUGGGCGUAAUCGUGCCGUUUCAGACCGAUAGAUCACGCCAACGAAACUCNCCGCGUAAUGGCGUGAUACGCCAUUACGGAGAAUUCNUCUUGCNGGNAAGGGANCUGUUGCCUGGCUGAGAAAGUAGCCCNGGGUUUAUGGGCUNGUUUCCGCCUUAACGGUUCACCACNGUUAGUAUCCCCAAUNGAACUAAGAGGGUGACCCGNGACAUUGGGACUGAGAUAAUUUGCAGACUUCCACGGCUUGCAGCAGUUUGGAAUCUUCCGCAAUGGUACGCAAUGCCUUGACGUAUCGAACGUCGUCGUUGAAGCGAAGAAGGCCUUUCGGGUUUGUAAAGCUCUGUUGCCUCGGGGAGAGCGGCAUGGGGAGUGGAAAGCCCCAUGCGAGACGGUACCGAGUGAGGAAGCCCCGGCUAACUACGUGCCAGCAGCCGCGGUAAAACGUAGGGGGCGAGCGUUGUCCGGAAUCACUGGGCGUAAAGGGUGCGUAGGCGGUCGAGCAAGUCUGGAGUGAAAGUCCAUGGCUCAACCAUGGGAUGGCUCUGGAAACUGCUUGACUUGAGUGCUGGAGAGGCAAGGGGAAUUCCACGUGUAGCGGUGAAAAUGCGUAGAGAUGUGGAGGAAUACCAGUGGCGAAGGCGCCUUGCUGGACAGUGACUGACGCUGAGGCACGAAAGCGUGGGGAGCAAACAGGAUUAGAUACCCUGGUAGUCCACGCCGUAAACGAUGAGUGCUAGGUGUUGGGGGGACACACCCCAGUGCCGAAGGAAACCCAAUAAGCACUCCGCCUGGGGAGUACGGUCGCAAGACUGAAACUCAAAGGAAUUGACGGGCC
This 843-nucleotide ribosomal RNA is filed under the name bacterium CC2. RNAcentral's name for it is "bacterial SSU rRNA". It matches the Rfam family "Bacterial small subunit ribosomal RNA", at positions 143 to 919 of the family's 1533-position model. The record is from RNAcentral.